GACGAACGCUGGCGGCGUGCUUAACACAUGCAAGUCGAACGGAAAGGCCCUGCUUGCAGGGUACUCGAGUGGCGAACGGGUGAGUAACACGUGGGUGAUCUGCCCUGCACUUCGGGAUAAGCCUGGGAAACUGGGUCUAAUACCGGAUAGGAGCCAUUUUUAGUGUGAUGGUUGGAAAGUUUUUUCGGUGUAGGAUGAGCUCGCGGCCUAUCAGCUUGUUGGUGGGGUAAUGGCCUACCAAGGCGGCGACGGGUAGCCGGCCUGAGAGGGUGGACGGCCACAUUGGGACUGAGAUACGGCCCAGACUCCUACGGGAGGCAGCAGUGGGGAAGAUUGCACAAUGGGCGCAAGCCUGAUGCAGCGACGCCGCGUGGGGGAGGACGGCCUUCGGGUUGUAAACUCCUUUCGCUAGGGACGAAGCUUUUUGUGACGGUACCUAGAUAAGAAGCACCGGCUAACUACGUG
This 465-nucleotide ribosomal RNA is filed under the name uncultured bacterium. Its description in RNAcentral is "partial 16S ribosomal RNA". It matches the Rfam family "Bacterial small subunit ribosomal RNA", at positions 28 to 507 of the family's 1533-position model. The record is from RNAcentral.